CCCGCUGAACUUAAGCAUAUCAAUAAGCGGAGGAAAAGAAACUAACAAGGAUUCCCCUAGUAACGGCGAGUGAAGCGGGAAGAGCUCAAGCUUAAAAUCUCCGUGCAAGUUUUGCGCGGCGAAUUGUAGUCUAUAGAGGCGUGGUCAGCGUGGGCGCUUGGGGCAAGUUCCUUGGAAGAGGACAGCAUGGAGGGUGAUACUCCCGUUCAUCCCUGAGUGGCUCGUGCGUACGACCCGUGUUCUUUGAGUCGCGUUGUUUGGGAAUGCAGCGCAAAGUAGGUGGUAAAUUCCAUCUAAAGCUAAAUAUUGGUGCGAGACCGAUAGCGAACAAGUACCGUGAGGGAAAGAUGAAAAGAACUUUGAAAAGAGAGUUAAAGAGUACCUGAAACUGCUGAAAGGGAACCGAAUCGUUUCCAGUGUCUAUAAUCCGUGGCAUAUUUCAUUGGCGAGUGUGCGCGUGCGUGUGCUGUGGCAGUGGCUUUUUUGGCUGCGCUCGGUGCGUGUGYUGUGUGUGCUUGCUGGUGCCCUGUGCUGCGGUGGGACGUCAAGGUCAGUUCGUAUGCUGCGGGAAAUGGCUGCCGAGGAGGUAGGGCUUACGCUCCGCGUUUGUCUGUUAUAUCUUGGUGGACGAGUCGUCGUGGUUGGGACUGAGGUGCCUACAACGUGCUUUUGAGUGGGUUCGUGUCUCCGUGUGCGCCGUGUGCGGAUAGCUUGCUAUGCGUGUGUGGUUGUGCGUGGAUUGGUGCGGGCUUUAACUUGUCGCCGUUCGGGACGUUGACGAAAUGGAGCGAUCCGACCCGUCUUGAAACACGGACCAAGGAGUCUAACAUGUGUGCAAGUGUUAGGGUGUGGAAACCCCAGCGCGAAAUGAAAGUGAAGGGCAGCGCAAGUUGUCUGAGGUAGGAAACGUUGCGGGCUUCGGUCUGCGGCGUGGCACUAUCGACCGAUCAUGAACCUUCGUGGUGAAAGAUUUGAGUUUGAGCACAUAUGUUGGUACCCGAAAGAUGGUGAACUAUGCCUGAGUAGGGUGAAGCCAGGGGAAACUCUGGUGGAAGCUCGUAGCGAUUCUGACGUGCAAAUCGAUCGUCAAACUUGGGUAUAGGGGCGAAAGACUAAUCGAACCAUCUAGUAGCUGGUUCCCUCCGAAAUUUCCCUCAGGAUAGCAGCAACUUAUUUACGAUAGUUUUAUGAGGUAAAGCGAAUGAUUAGAGGAUUCGGGGAAGAAACUUCCUCGACCUAUUCUCAAACUUUAAAUCUGUAAGACCUGCAGGUUUCUUAAUUGAACUUGUGGAUGUGAAUAUCAAGUUGCUAGUGGGCCAUACGGGGUAAGCUCGUCUGGCG
RNAcentral lists this ribosomal RNA (1341 nucleotides) under Phytophthora cinnamomi. Its description in RNAcentral is "eukaryotic LSU rRNA". It matches the Rfam family "Eukaryotic large subunit ribosomal RNA", at positions 24 to 1155 of the family's 3401-position model. Lineage: Eukaryota; Oomycota; Peronosporomycetes; Peronosporales; Peronosporaceae. The record is from RNAcentral.